UACAGGGGGUGCAAACGUUGCUCGGAAUCAUUGGGCGUAAAGCGCACGUAGGCGGUCUGUUAUGUCGGAUGUGAAAGCCCUUGGCUCAACUGAGGAAGUGCAUCCGAAACUGGCAGGCUAGAGUACUAAAGAGGGUCGCGGAAUUCCCGGUGUAGAGGUGAAAUUCGUAGAUAUCGGGAGGAACACCGGUGGCGAAGGCGGCGACCUGGGUAGAUACUGACGCUGAGGUGCGAAAGCGUGGGGAGCGAACAGG
RNAcentral lists this ribosomal RNA (253 nucleotides) under uncultured bacterium. RNAcentral's name for it is "partial 16S ribosomal RNA". It matches the Rfam family "Bacterial small subunit ribosomal RNA", at positions 524 to 776 of the family's 1533-position model. The record is from RNAcentral.